GGGAAUGUAGCUCAGUGGUAGAACACUUGCCUAUCAUUUAUGCAAGGUCCUGGGUUCGAUUCCCAGCAUUGCAA
Molecule: transfer RNA, 74 nt
Filed under: Marmota marmota marmota (Alpine marmot)
Lineage: Eukaryota; Metazoa; Chordata; Mammalia; Rodentia; Sciuridae
Also listed under: 3 other names
Rfam family: tRNA
About the family: Transfer RNA (tRNA) molecules are approximately 80 nucleotides in length. Their secondary structure includes four short double-helical elements and three loops (D, anti-codon, and T loops).
Source: Rfam by way of RNAcentral